AAUGGCUAUCGCUGUAUUUGUCCACCUGGCUAUGCAGGCAAUCACUGUGAAAGAGACACCGAUGAAUGUGCUGGCAACCCCUGCUUGAAAUGGUUUCUCUGUCAGAAUGAUAUCAACAGAUUCCAGUGUCUGUGUCCUGCUGGUUCCUCUGGAAACCUCUGUCAGCUGGACAUUGAUUACUGCGAGCCCAACCCUUGCCAGAAUGGUGCCCAAUGCUAUAAUCGUGCCAGUGACUACUUCUGCAAGUGCCCUGAGGACUAUGAGGGCAAGAACUGCUCACACCUGAAAGACCAUUCUCGCACGACCCCUGUGAAGAUUUCCUGGUUCCACUGCUGAGCUCUGUUGUAACAGUGGCUUGGGUCUAUUGCUUGGUGACAGCCUUGUUCUGGUGUGUACAGAAGCCGCGGAAGCUCAACAGCCACACUCAAUCUGCCUCCAAGGACAGCACCUCCAACGAUGUAUGGGAACAGCUGAACCAGAUCAAAACCCCCAUUGGAAAUGCUUUUCUUCCUUAAGGUUUCUUGCCAAGGUUCCCAGUGUAACUAUUGGUGUGUUGGGAAUUGUUCUGUAAACCAGGGCAUCCUCAUUCAUGCACCACCCAGGAAAGCAUGGGAGACAUUCUUGCCUUAAGUUCCAGCCCUAUGAAGGCACUGAGGCCAUUUCCCCAUUAUUGCUACUUAUCUUCAUGCUCAAUGUCUUUUAAUUUCUUUUUAAAUCUGAUUGAUUUUACAUGUGGGUUGAUUAUGUGGAGAAAGAGAUUUUACAAUUCUGACAAUUUCCUCUGGGUAAAUCAUUAUCCUUUAUCCUUCAACCAUUGCACUCAGCUUUUCACACUUUGUGGAUAUUUCACAAGGACUUUUCUCCUGGUGUUUAUGCCAGCCUUUUGUUCCUGAGUUUUUCCUCCAGGAAUUUUUUUCAAGGGAAUCUCUUAAUAUUAUUCACCAGGCUUUUUGUUCUAAAUUUCCCCUUUGGACUUUACUUCUGCCUCUUGUACCCAGAGUUUUCUCAUGGAGUCUCGCCAUGAAAACUGGGAAGUCUUCAUUGUCCGGCUCACCAAAUCUCUUUGCACAGGUGCACUCGAGUCCUCUCAGAGCCUGGCUCCAUCUGCGCCCUAGAAGAUGAAGAAAAGAGGACGAUGUGAUACAAUAAAGAAAAGGCUCCUCAUUAUUGCUCUUAAAAAUAAAUACAUGGAUUCUGUUGGGUUUAGAAAGGAAAGAGCAAUCAUCCAGGAAGUGUUUGUGCCAGAGGAAGAAGACUGCACAGCCUAGAAACAAGUACCCAUGGGGGAGUGGUGUGGCCAGAGGAGUUCACGGUGUGACUAAAAUCUGUUAUCAGCCUGUGUGAAGUGGGGUGAUGUCUGUUGUACUGAAUACUUCAGAACUGUCUGUUCUUACUGGGUAGUAAAGAUGGACAGAAAGCUGGAUUUCUGCCACACACAAUAUGAGUUUCCUUAUUGGCAAAGACAUUUAGGAAAUUCCUUUGCAAGUCCUUUCAUGUUUAGGAGCGUUCAGCCUAGGACCCCACUAGAGAUCCUGGAUCAGUGGUUCAGAACCUUCUUAAUGCUAUUAUUACACUUUAAUAUAGUUCUUCAUGUUGUGAUGACCCCUAACCAUAAUGUUGUUUUGUUGCUACUUCAUGCCUUUAAUUUUGCUACUGUUAUGAAUCAUAAUGUAAAUAUAUGAUAUGUAGGAUAUCUGAUGUGCAACCCCCCCCCCAAAAAAAAAGAGUAGUGAACCACAGGUUGAGAACCAAGGCUGUAGAUGCAAGACACAAAUAUGUUCAAAGCCUGGCAAUGAUGCUGAGGAAGUGUGCUUGUUAGUUUUUGUUAUCAGACUGACACAAACUAGAGUCACCUGGAAAGAAGGGCCCUCAAUGAGGAAUUACUUAGGUCAGAUUGACUUUGAGCAUGUCUGAGUAGGAUUUUAUAGUCUGUUAAUUGAGAUGCAAAGACUCAUCCUAAAAUGGGCAGAAUCAUUUCAUUGGGGCCUUGAUUGUGUAAGUGAAGAAUCGAGUAUAGGAAGAGGCAAGUAGGAAGCAUGGGUACAUUUGUUUCUCUCUGCCCUUAACUGUGUUUGCAGUGUGACUAGCUGAGUUCCUACUUGACUUCUGCAAAAUGGACUAUAACCUGGGCCUGUGAACUCAAAUGAAUUCUUUCCCCACUAAGUUGCUCUGCCUGGGAACUUAAUACAUUUAUAAUGCUGAGAUGCCACUCUGUGACACAGGUGUUGGCACCACUCAGAGAGAUGUGAAAGUAAUUCAUCGCAUGUUCAACAUCAGCAUAUUCAUCCCAGAGCAGGAGAUUCUGCUUCCCCUUGAACCCAACCCUGUGUUUUCCCAUCACAGUUUUGUAAAGACAAACACACACCCAUUGACUCCCACAACAUGUAACCCCGUCAACAAACAGCUCCAGAUAGUGUCUUGCUGUAUCAAGUGCUAAUCUUUUAAAUAAAACAA
Molecule: long non-coding RNA, 2454 nt
Organism: Peromyscus eremicus (cactus mouse)
Lineage: Eukaryota; Metazoa; Chordata; Mammalia; Rodentia; Cricetidae
Exons: 3
Source: RefSeq, a predicted model, not a curated record